Molecule: long non-coding RNA, 1640 nt
Organism: Oncorhynchus kisutch (coho salmon)
Lineage: Eukaryota; Metazoa; Chordata; Actinopteri; Salmoniformes; Salmonidae
Exons: 6
Source: RefSeq, a predicted model, not a curated record
UUUCAUCACCCUUUCAGGUGAACAGUACGUUUGUGUGGGCAGUAGCCCAGGGUGCGGAGAUUGUUAUUGAAGGCUGUAUAGAGCCAAUCAGUGGAUGUCCUGAUAAUACUGCCUUCCUUUGGGGCAGGCUGUUCCUGAACCAGGGAGGGGCAAGGGGGCGAGAGGGGACGCAGAUAAGCUCUUGUUCUGCUUGUCUACAGCCGGUCUAAUUGUAUGUAGAUGGAGAAUGAAGUGUUUGUCAUAAUGUAUAAUCAUAGAAAAUCCUGUUAAAGGCACCAUGCUGCUGUAUAACACACCCCUCCCCAGGGCAGCCCAGAGGCUGGAGCUGAGGGGUAUACAGUCAUACAGUGACCUGGAGGGGUGCUCCAGGGCCUCCACACCCUGCCCACUGCCACCGUGGACUACAGGGGGAUCCGCCUGUCUUCCCAGGGUCUGGCCCCUGGCCCCUGGCCUGGAGGGCCCCCCUGCUCCUACCAGGCAUGAUGGAUCAGGCGUAUAAGCGUCUGAAGGAGGCAGCAUACCUGUUUGGCCGUGUGUGUGAUGACCUGAACCCAGAGGCCUGCUCCUUCCUGUCUCAGCCUGAUGGCCAGAGUGAGGCCUGCAGUGUCCAGCUCAAGCCUGUGGUCAUCAGUGAGAGGGUCCUGGGCUUUGACCACCCCAACACUACCAACAAUACUAUGGUGAGGACCACCCCCAGAGACUCUACAGCUACGAAUUUCUGCACUCCAUUACCCAGCAGGCAGUGCAUGUGGAGCGCUCUAUAAGGAAAGGCGGGGACCCGCUCACAGCUGAGGGUCAGUCUCUUUCUCCCUCAGCUGAGACCACUCUGGAGCAGCUGGCCCUGGUCACAGGCAUUAGGACACCAAGCCACAGUGACAGGCUCCUAGAUUUCAAACAUAAGCUGAUGGAACAGAGAGAGGCAGUUAACGCCAAACCAGACAACACACGCACAGAAACAGUGAACGAAGAAGAAGCAGAGGGGACAUCUAAAGGAGAGGAGGCUGUGGCAGUCCAGGAGAUCACCAGCGAGGUGCUCUCAGUAGAGGCAGGUCACAAUGAGAACCCAGCCAACAGACAGUGGACUGCCAUCAACUGGAGCCCAUUGAGGAGAACGUAGAGGUGGGCUCAGUAGUAGAGAGUGGAGCUUUUAGACAAUCCAGUGAGGGAGCUGCCCCAGAGGCUGAGCAGAAAAUGACACAAAAUGGAGGUUUGGAAUCUGACGGAAACAAAUCAGACAGUGAGAUGGAGAUAGUCAAUGAUAAGCCAGGGUCAGAUGUGAACAGAUCACCAGUGAUGACCAAUCAGAACAACAAGAGGGCGUCAUGAAUGCCUUUAUCCAUCGACCAAGCAAAACUAACCCUGACCACAGCAGAGGGUGAGAUGCUAGCUAACGGAACAUCUGUCAGAGAGGGAGGAUUUUUUUAAGGGAUUAACAGAACAAAUAACCAAAGAGAAGCCAUAGGACAGACAAGGCAGUAGCAUAUUAAAGGGGCUGUUGAUUCAGCUGGAUCAGAAUCCUGAGAGCAGAUGGCUGUGGAGGAUGAAAGGGGAAAACGAGGAGAAAGAAUAUAGAAGUGUGUCAUUCUCUUUUAUCUGGGUUGUUUACUGGUAUUGGGAGAGAACUUAUUUGGUCUUUAUCA